UUGCGCCAAUGCGCGAAAGCGUGACGCAGCGACGCCGCGUGGGGGAUGAAGGCCCUCGGGUUGUAAACCCCUUUCGCCAGGGACGAAGCGAAAGUGACGGUACCUGGAGAAGAAGUCCCGGCUAACUACGUGCCAGCAGCCGCGGUAACACGUAGGGGACGAGCGUUGUCCGGAUUCAUUGGGCGUAAAGCGCGCGUAGGCGGUCGUGCAAGUCGGUUGUGAAAUCCCGGGGCUCAACCCCGGGACUGCGUCCGAUACUGUGCGACUGGAGGCAGGUAGGGGAGAUCGGAAUUCCUGGUGUAGCGGUGAAAUGCGCAGAUAUCAGGAGGAACACCGGUGGCGAAGGCGGAUCUCUGGGCCUUGCCUGACGCUGAGGCGCGAAAGCUAGGGGAGCGAACAGGAUUAGAUACCCUGGUAGUCCUAGCCGUAAACGUUGGGUGCUAGGUGUGGGCGGACAUCGACCCCGUCCGUGCCGAAGCUAACGCAUUAAGCACCCCGCCUGGGGAGUACGGCCGCAAGGCUA
Molecule: ribosomal RNA, 523 nt
Filed under: uncultured Actinomycetes bacterium
Lineage: Bacteria; Bacillati; Actinomycetota; Actinomycetes
Description: bacterial SSU rRNA
Rfam family: Bacterial small subunit ribosomal RNA
Source: RNAcentral